AAGACAGUUCAUCAGUAAAGUGCCUGUCUUAAAAGCAUGAGGACCUGAGUUCAAAUCCCAGAAUCCAUACAAAAGAAGCCAGAGGCACUGGUGUACACUGUGAUUCUGCUGCUGAUAAGCACCUUCCAGAAACAACAGCAGAAGUGAAUGUGCUUGUGACCCUGUAGACCUCCUGGCUGUCUUGGAUGUUGGGAUUCUCCAUCUCUUGUGUGUUUUCCUUUCAGAAGAGGGGGCAGAACUGAACCAGGCUUGGCACAUGCCUAUAAUCCCAGCAUGUGGGAGGCUGGGGAAGGAAUACUACAGUGAGCUGGAGGCUUUCCAGGGCUACUGAGUGCAGGAAAAACUGAGCCAUCUCACCAGCCGCCGACGCUAUAGAGUACCUGGAUUCAUGGAGACAGAAGUACAAGGGUGGUUUGAGGGAUGGGAAAUGAGAGGGGCCGGGAGGAGCUGUCUCCCAUCCACUGUUUCUCAGCUUCACUUCUGUGAAAUGCGAAGAGUUCCGGAGACUGGUUGUAGAACAGUGCAAAUACACUCACUACAACUGAACCACGAUUAAGAAGGGGUGAAACCGUCUAUCUUGAAAAGGGAAUCAAUUAAUCAACCAAAGGGCAUUGUACAAACUCCAGCGGUAGUGUCCCAUAGUCUAUAUGAGGUACACCUUUUCAAAGAUAUGGAAUAUGUUUUUGUUUGUUUGUUUGUUUUUGGUGGCCCCUGUGUUCCCUAGAAGCCUCAGGCAGGCAGGGAGCAGAGAGAGAUGGAACUUCAAGAUCUAAGCAGGAUGCUGUUUGUGUCACGGUCAUUUUUCUGUAAGAUGAGCCCGUUUGGUUCCAUUUGCAGGUCUUAUGUUCCCAUCUUUUCUUCCCAUCCCAUAUCACCCAGCUUUGAACUGGCAGGUUAUACUACAGCCACAAGAUUCUGUCUUCUCCUUUUCU
This is a long non-coding RNA of Mesocricetus auratus (golden hamster), 932 nucleotides long. RefSeq lists it as uncharacterized. The transcript has 3 exons. The record is from RefSeq and is a predicted model, not a curated record. NCBI's taxonomy places the organism in Eukaryota, Metazoa, Chordata, Mammalia, Rodentia, Cricetidae.